This 202-nucleotide unclassified non-coding RNA is filed under the name uncultured fungus. RNAcentral describes it as "sequence contains ITS1". Lineage: Eukaryota; Fungi. The record is from RNAcentral.
UUUAUUUAUUGCUUGUUUUCUCUGACUAAUACAUAGUUUAAGAGUAUAAGACUCCGGCAAGCUCACAUCGUCAUAUUAAUUUCAAUGGCGAUGGCCGUUUCCAACGUCUUGCCGAAGCAACAGUGGAAUUGAUCACGGGUGGGAGUUUCCUGCAGAACAGGAAUACUCGGUAAUGAUCCUUCCGCAGGUUCACCUACGGAAA